UACGGAGGGUGCAAGCGUUAUCCGGAUUCACUGGGUUUAAAGGGAGCGUAGGUGGGCUGGUAAGUCAGUGGUGAAAUCCCCGAGCUUAACUUGGGAACUGCCAUUGAUACUAUCAGUCUUGAAUACUGUGGAGGUUAGCGGAAUAUGUCAUGUAGCGGUGAAAUGCUUAGAUAUGACAUAGAACACCAAUUGCGAAGGCAGCUGGCUACACAAUUAUUGACACUGAGGCUCGAAAGCGUGGGGAUUAAACAGG
RNAcentral lists this ribosomal RNA (253 nucleotides) under uncultured bacterium. Its description in RNAcentral is "partial 16S ribosomal RNA". It matches the Rfam family "Bacterial small subunit ribosomal RNA", at positions 524 to 776 of the family's 1533-position model. The record is from RNAcentral.